Molecule: long non-coding RNA, 337 nt
Organism: Helianthus annuus (common sunflower)
Lineage: Eukaryota; Viridiplantae; Streptophyta; Magnoliopsida; Asterales; Asteraceae
Exons: 3
Source: RefSeq, a predicted model, not a curated record
CCUUAAACCAUUUUUUGCCACCUGUCAACUUAAUAGUACACAGAUUUCUUCUUUGGGCGGCAACUAAAACCCUAAACCAAAAUACGCGUAGAUGGCUUCCUUCUCCUACAAUCUUCUUUCAUUAUCGCAAAAUAGCGAUGAUGGCUAUUGAAUAAACCCUAGAUGAUGGCUAUUGAACAAACCAAACAACCCAGGGAAGCAGGUUAUGUGCUUGAAGAUAUGCCUUACUUAACUGAUCCACUCAGGCAAGCUUUUUAUGUAAUGAAUUUAAUUUAUAAGGAAUUGAAAUUUGUGGCAGAUUAUUAGUUUAUAGUAUGUAGCAGUUGAAUUCUUUUUU